AGACCAGCCUGGCCAACAUGGUGAAACCCUGUCUCUACCAAAAAUACAAAAAAAACAAUGUACCGGGCAUGGUGGCACGCAUCUGUAAUCCCAGCUACUCGGGAGGCUGAGGCACGAGAAUCGCUUGAACUCAGGAGGUGGAGGUUGCAAUGAGCCAAGAUCCCACCACUGCCCUCCAGCCUGGACUAUAGAAUUGAGGGAAGCAGUUGCCCCUCCUAAUGUGGGUGGACUUCAUCCAAUCCACGGAAGACCUGAAUAGAGCAAAAGUCGGUCCUUUCCGAAGUAAGAGAGAAUUCCUCCUGCCUGAAGGUUUUUAAACUGCACCAUUGGCUUUUUUCUGCCUUUGUACUCAGACUGAAACACUGCUCUUUCCGGGUUUCGAGCCUGCUGGCCUUAGGACUGGAACUAACACCAUCAGUUCUCUGGGGUCUCCAGUUUGCUGCCUCGCCCUGCAGAUGACAGCACUUGUUAGCCUCCAUAAUUGCGUGAAAUCUCUUUCUCUGUUUAGACAUUGGUUCUGUUUCUCUGGAAAACCCCAGUCAAUACAGGCGGUGAUCAUAUUUUGAGGAUUAAAUGAUACAAUGAAUAGAAUAUGCUUAACACACAGUGAGUGCUUGGCACAUAUGAUCUCCUCAAUACACAUCAGCUUUAUCAUGGAAAUUAUUAUGUAUCAUUAUACAAAAUAUAAUAAGAUUUCAAACUUGUGUUCUCUUACAUGUCCUCUAAAUUAUUCAAUGGAACAAAAAACUCUUCACUCAUUUUUGUGUGUAUGCAAACUUAAUGUCUUUCAAUAAA
RNAcentral lists this long non-coding RNA (795 nucleotides) under Homo sapiens (human). Its description in RNAcentral is "HSALNT0384753". The record is from RNAcentral. Lineage: Eukaryota; Metazoa; Chordata; Mammalia; Primates; Hominidae.